This is a long non-coding RNA of Notolabrus celidotus (New Zealand spotty), 496 nucleotides long. RefSeq lists it as uncharacterized. NCBI's taxonomy places the organism in Eukaryota, Metazoa, Chordata, Actinopteri, Labriformes, Labridae. The record is from RefSeq and is a predicted model, not a curated record. The transcript is spliced from 2 exons.
AAACCGCAUGCUGGACAACUGGAGAAAACCAACUGUUCCGCGAGGAAAGAGACUAAUUAACCCCUCAAAUACCAGAUCACGUCAUCGAUUGAGGACAUUUUGAAAAUGCGACAGAACUUUUUUUCUUUUUUUCUUCCAACUCCGACCCCUCUUCGACUGGAUUUAAUCUCAGAAACAGGACAGAGAAAUAUAUGAUUCUACUCUUGGACCCCAUGAAAGGAGACUGAGGAGGGCAAUCCUCCAAGAGGAAAUCUGCUGCCAGGUCUUAUCUGAUAACAAGAGAAGCAGCAAGAGUGUGAAAAAAAGACUGAAGAAACAAAAACAAAAAGUCAGUUAGUAUUGCAGUAUUAAACACUAUUUUUUUAUUUAAAAAAAACAGUUUAUACAAGAAAUCCUUUCAUACAUUAGCAUAUUAUCAAAAAGGUUGUGAAUUUUUAAUGUGACAUCUUCUCAUUAAUAAAGAUAAAAGAGCAGAAAAGGAUUCUGCAGGGUUGAA